Molecule: transfer RNA, 76 nt
Filed under: Escherichia coli
Lineage: Bacteria; Pseudomonadati; Pseudomonadota; Gammaproteobacteria; Enterobacterales; Enterobacteriaceae
Also listed under: 17 other names
Description: tRNA-Gln
Rfam family: tRNA
About the family: Transfer RNA (tRNA) molecules are approximately 80 nucleotides in length. Their secondary structure includes four short double-helical elements and three loops (D, anti-codon, and T loops).
Source: RNAcentral
UGGUUUGUAGUGUAGUCCGGUAGCACACGACACUUUGACUGUCGUAGGUUUGGUUCAAAUCCAGACAGACCAGCCA